Molecule: ribosomal RNA, 735 nt
Filed under: Listeria monocytogenes
Lineage: Bacteria; Bacillati; Bacillota; Bacilli; Caryophanales; Listeriaceae
Description: bacterial SSU rRNA
Rfam family: Bacterial small subunit ribosomal RNA
Source: RNAcentral
AAAGUUAGUGGCGGACGGGUGAGUAACACGUGGGCAACCUGCCUGUAAGUUGGGGAUAACUCCGGGAAACCGGAGCUAAUACCGAAUGAUAGACUGUGGCGCAUGCCACGCUUUUGAAAGAUGGUUUCGGCUAUCGCUUACAGAUGGGCCCCCGGUGCAUUAGCUAGUUGGUAGGGUAAUGGCCUACCAAGGCAACGAUGCAUAGCCGACCUGAGAGGGUAAUCGGCCACACUGGGACUGAGACACGGCCUUGACUCCUACGGGAGGCAGCAGUAGGGAAUCUUCCGCAAUGGACGAAAGUCUGACGGAGCAACGCCGCGUGUAUGAAGAAGGUUUUCGGAUCGUAAAGUACUGUUGUUAGAGAAGAACAAGGAUAAGAGUAACUGCUUGUCCCUUGACGGUAUCUAACCAGAAAGCCACGGCUAACUACGUGCCAGCAGCCGCGGUAAUACGUAGGUGGCCAGCGUUGUCCGGAUUUAUUGGGCGUAAAGCGCGCGCAGGCGGUCUUUUAAGUCUGAUGUGAAAGCCCCCGGCUUAACCGGGCCGGGUCAUUGGAAACUGGAAGACUGGAGUGCAGAAGAGGAGAGUGGAAUUCCACGUGUAGCGGUGAAAUGCGUAGAUAUGUGGAGGAACACCAGUGGCGAAGGCGACUCUCUGGUCUGUAACUGACGCUGAGGCGCUUAAGCGUGGGGAGCAAACAGGAUUAGAUACCCUGGUAGUCCACGCCGUAAACGA